Synchiropus splendidus (mandarinfish) is the source of this 411-nucleotide long non-coding RNA. RefSeq lists it as uncharacterized. NCBI's taxonomy places the organism in Eukaryota, Metazoa, Chordata, Actinopteri, Syngnathiformes, Callionymidae. The record is from RefSeq and is a predicted model, not a curated record. The transcript is spliced from 4 exons.
CGAGCUCCUCCUCUGAGCUCCAGGAUUUAAGGCCAGUCAGUUUCUAAGCCAGCAGGCACCAUGGACAGGAAGCUGCUGCUGUUGGUCCUCCUGAGUCUGCUCCUCUGCUCUGCAGCUUCUGCUCCUGCACCCGCGCCACAAGAAGCGGUCGAGGUGCCGGGGAGUGUGAUCAACCAAUUUCAAAAGAUGAAGCCAGAGAAACCUUGUCCAAUCAACGCCCCACCAGGGUCAUGUGGACCACUAAAUAAGCGGUGAGCUGCAGCAUCACGACCCUCAACUCUCACCAAGCCACUUCAGGGACGACAGACGAAGUCAUCUUUGCUUCCAGAAUCAUCAUAAAAAAAGUGUUUUCUAUUUCACACACAAACAUCCGAGGCUUAUUGAAUGACUAAUAAAUCCUGCUCCAUGAUA